AUUGAACGCUGGCGGCAGGCUUAACACAUGCAAGCCGAGCGGAGUGAUGGUGCUUGCACUAUCACUUAGCGGCGGACGGGUGAGUAAUGCUUAGGAAUCUGCCUAUUAGUGGGGGACAACAUCUCGAAAGGGAUGCUAAUACCGCAUACGUCCUACGGGAGAAAGCAGGGGAUCACUUGUGACCUUGCGCUAAUAGAUGAGCCUAAGUCGGAUUAGCUAGUUGGUGGGGUAAAGGCCUACCAAGGCGACGAUCUGUAGCGGGUCUGAGAGGAUGAUCCGCCACACUGGGACUGAGACACGGCCCAGACUCCUACGGGAGGCAGCAGUGGGGAAUAUUGGACAAUGGGGGGAACCCUGAUCCAGCCAUGCCGCGUGUGUGAAGAAGGCCUUAUGGUUGUAAAGCACUUUAAGCGAGGAGGAGGCUCUUUUGGUUAACACCCAAGAUGAGUGGACGUUACUCGCAGAAUAAGCACCGGCUAACUCUGUGCCAGCAGCCGCGGUAA
This 503-nucleotide ribosomal RNA is filed under the name uncultured bacterium. RNAcentral describes it as "partial 16S ribosomal RNA". It matches the Rfam family "Bacterial small subunit ribosomal RNA", at positions 30 to 523 of the family's 1533-position model. The record is from RNAcentral.